RNAcentral lists this non-coding RNA (86 nucleotides) under Halomonas chromatireducens. The record is from RNAcentral. Lineage: Bacteria; Pseudomonadati; Pseudomonadota; Gammaproteobacteria; Oceanospirillales; Halomonadaceae.
GUCUAUGGCGGUCGUGCGUGGGAGACCUUCGGGUCUGCCGGUUCCUAGAGUGCCGGUUCGCCAACCUGCGUACGGCCGCCCCCAUC